AAUAAGUGUAUUUUUGCACUGUUCAUAUACAACAUUUGACCGUUCGCUUUAUUUAAAAGUUUUUAUGAUUAAUAUUUUUAUUGUCAUUAAAUGAUAAUACAUGAAUAAUAUUUUAUGUGUGACUAAUAUUUUUCAAAUAAAACAGACGCUUAAACGUUAAACACGGAUAGU
Molecule: microRNA precursor, 171 nt
Filed under: Oryza sativa Japonica Group (Japanese rice)
Lineage: Eukaryota; Viridiplantae; Streptophyta; Magnoliopsida; Poales; Poaceae
Description: MIR812 microRNA precursor family
Rfam family: MIR812 microRNA precursor family
Source: Rfam by way of RNAcentral